GCGCAGCAGGCGCGAAACCUCCGCAAUACACGAAAGUGUGACGGGGCCAUCCCGAGUGCCGUCCGCUGAGGACGGCUUUUCCCCAGUGUACAUAGCUUGGGGGAAUAAGGAGAGGGCAAGCCUGGUGUCAGCCGCCGCGGUAAUACCAGCUCUCCGAGUGGUGGGACGCUUAUUGGGCCUAAAGCAUCCGUAGCCGGCUAGGCAAGUCCUCCGUUAAAUCCAACGAUUCAAUCGUUGGGCUG
Molecule: ribosomal RNA, 242 nt
Filed under: uncultured microorganism
Description: partial 16S ribosomal RNA
Rfam family: Archaeal small subunit ribosomal RNA
Source: RNAcentral